GUCCAUCUCUUCCGUUCUUCCUGCAGAUGGAGGUGGUGACUGCUAUUGGAGGUGCCAUUCUCUCCGUUUCCUUUCAGGAACUGCUUGAUAGGUUGACGUCCAGGGACUUGCUGAAGUAUGCCCAAGAGGGGAAUGUCCUUGUUGAACUCAAGAAAUGGGAGAGGAUGUUGAAGAAAAUUUACUUGGUACUUGACGAUGCCGAGGAAAAGCAGUGGGAGAACCCA
This 224-nucleotide unclassified non-coding RNA is filed under the name Hevea brasiliensis (rubber tree). Lineage: Eukaryota; Viridiplantae; Streptophyta; Magnoliopsida; Malpighiales; Euphorbiaceae. The record is from RNAcentral.